Molecule: small nucleolar RNA, 72 nt
Organism: Neodiprion virginianus
Lineage: Eukaryota; Metazoa; Arthropoda; Insecta; Hymenoptera; Diprionidae
Source: RefSeq, a predicted model, not a curated record
UUUUUAAAUGAUGAAUUUUAUAUCGCCCCAGUCUGAUUACUGUGAUUGAUUGAUUACUAUAUGUGCUGAAUA